Molecule: ribosomal RNA, 492 nt
Filed under: uncultured bacterium
Lineage: Bacteria
Description: partial 16S ribosomal RNA
Rfam family: Bacterial small subunit ribosomal RNA
Source: RNAcentral
AGUGAACGCUGGCGGUAGGCCUAACACAUGCAAGUCGAACGGCAGCACAGUAAGAGCUUGCUCUUACGGGUGGCGAGUGGCGGACGGGUGAGGAAUACAUUGGAAUCUACUUUUUCGUGGGGGAUAACGUAGGGAAACUUACGCUAAUACCGCAUACGACCUACGGGUGAAAGCAGGGGAUCUUCGGACCUUGCGCGAUUGAAUGAGCCGAUGUCGGAUUAGCUAGUUGGCGGGGUAAAGGCCCACCAAGGCGACGAUCCGUAGCUGGUCUGAGAGGAUGAUCAGCCACACUGGAACUGAGACACGGUCCAGACUCCUACGGGAGGCAGCAGUGGGGAAUAUUGGACAAUGGGCGCAAGCCUGAUCCAGCCAUACCGCGUGGGUGAAGAAGGCCUUCGGGUUGUAAAGCCCUUUUGUUGGGAAAGAAAAGCAGCAGGUUAAUACCCCGCCGUUCUGACGGUACCCAAAGAAUAAGCACCGGCUAACUUCGUG